UUACACAUGCAAGUCGAACGGCAGCACGGGUGCUUGCACCUGGUGGCGAGUGGCGAACGGGUGAGUAAUACAUCGGAACAUGUCCUGUAGUGGGGGAUAGCCCGGCGAAAGCCGGAUUAAUACCGCAUACGAUCUACGGAUGAAAGCGGGGGACCUUCGGGCCUCGCGCUAUAGGGUUGGCCGAUGGCUGAUUAGCUAGUUGGUGGGGUAAAGGCCUACCAAGGCGACGAUCAGUAGCUGGUCUGAGAGGACGACCAGCCACACUGGGACUGAGACACGGCCCAGACUCCUACGGGAGGCAGCAGUGGGGAAUUUUGGACAAUGGGCGAAAGCCUGAUCCAGCAAUGCCGCGUGUGUGAAGAAGGCCUUCGGGUUGUAAAGCACUUUUGUCCGGAAAGAAAACCUCUGCCCUAAUACGGC
RNAcentral lists this ribosomal RNA (420 nucleotides) under Burkholderiaceae bacterium Ellin5410. Its description in RNAcentral is "bacterial SSU rRNA". It matches the Rfam family "Bacterial small subunit ribosomal RNA", at positions 49 to 468 of the family's 1533-position model. Lineage: Bacteria; Pseudomonadati; Pseudomonadota; Betaproteobacteria; Burkholderiales; Burkholderiaceae. The record is from RNAcentral.